CCCUGAUGUUAGCGGCGGACGGGUGAGUAACACGUGGGUAACCUGCCUGUAAGACUGGGAUAACUCCGGGAAACCGGGGCUAAUACCGGAUGGUUGUUUGAACCGCAUGGUUCAAACAUAAAAGGUGGCUUCGGCUACCACUUACAGAUGGACCCGCGGCGCAUUAGCUAGUUGGUGAGGUAACGGCUCACCAAGGCAACGAUGCGUAGCCGACCUGAGAGGGUGAUCGGCCACACUGGGACUGAGACACGGCCCAGACUCCUACGGGAGGCAGCAGUAGGGAAUCUUCCGCAAUGGACGAAAGUCUGACGGAGCAACGCCGCGUGAGUGAUGAAGGUUUUCGGAUCGUAAAGCUCUGUUGUUAGGGAAGAACAAGUACCGUUCGAAUAGGGCGGUACCUUGACGGUACCUAACCAGAAAGCCACGGCUAACUACGUGCCAGCAGCCGCGGUAAUACGUAGGUGGCAAGCGUUGUCCGGAAUUAUUGGGCGUAAAGGGCUCGCAGGCGGUUUCUUAAGUCUGAUG
Molecule: ribosomal RNA, 525 nt
Filed under: Bacillus subtilis
Lineage: Bacteria; Bacillati; Bacillota; Bacilli; Caryophanales; Bacillaceae
Description: bacterial SSU rRNA
Rfam family: Bacterial small subunit ribosomal RNA
Source: RNAcentral